This is a long non-coding RNA of Hypomesus transpacificus, 1181 nucleotides long. RefSeq lists it as uncharacterized. NCBI's taxonomy places the organism in Eukaryota, Metazoa, Chordata, Actinopteri, Osmeriformes, Osmeridae. The record is from RefSeq and is a predicted model, not a curated record. The transcript has 4 exons.
GUUAGAAAGCCAUCCAUCUUAAAGUCAGUGUCGCCCCCUGGUGGCGGAUAGAGGUUUGGUUUAUCAGCCGGUGUUGAAAUAAAAUGGUGAGCGCUGAAGUGAGCAUGUUGAGAACACAUUGUAGUAAAGCAGGAAGACUUUGAAGUCGUUUGCCAGAGCAAUUCAAUUCGGCUGUCGAUUCCACAGAGUGAACCGUGUUGCCGGUAGAAGAAUGAAGACGAGAAGAAUGAAGUUGAAUAUCAGUAGCUUCAAGCUACAGCUUCAAGCGUGACUGUCGUCAGCGAGUGGUGACUUCACGUGGUGACAGAUCACAGUGUCGCCCAGAUGACACCUCAGGGAAGUGACAGGACGUGUGGCCUCUGUUCAACCACAACACGCAGCCCCGCCCAAAUCCCAGAUCCCCAAACAACAUCUCAACGUCUUUCUUGUCCUCUCCUGGUCUCCUCCUCUCACAAGGAACAAAGAGAAAUCUCAUUUUCCCCCGUAAAUAAUUCACAAGAAGACUAAGAUUUUAUUAAUGAUUUGCGUUUUUAUUCCACAUGCAGGAUUGACUGCUGGUGUGUGUGUGGUGUGUGUGUGUGUGGUGUGUGGUGUGUAUGGAGAGCAGAGUUCAGGGUCGGAGGACAGCUGUCUGCCGGCAGCUUCUGACUGGACCCGGGCUGGGAGGUCUCCUGUCCUCCUUACAUGCUCAGGAAGACGCUCAAUGAAGAGGACGUCCUCGUCAUCAGUCCAGGGUUCGAGUGGACUGUCCUGUUGCCAAGGCGACUCGUGGACGGUAAUCGGGACUGCUGAGGCAGGCGGAUCCGGAGAAUCGACCACCAUGAGUCUGGCUGCUUUAGGCUGUCUGUAGUUCUAGAGCAUAGAUGCCGACUGGAGGUCAAAGGUUAUCACGGCAGGGCAACAUGAGCGUUGGUUCUGGAACCACACCCUGACGACCCGGGGGCUGAGGCCCGUGUGCUGGGCGAGCCGAAGCUUCAGCGCAGCGUCAGGACGAGGCGUCCGCGAGUAACAGGAGCGCAGCGCCCCCAGCUGGCCGUCACUGAGAACGCUCCGCACUCGCACCCUACGCCCUAAUCACAAUAAGAAUAAGAAUAAUAAGAAUCAUCAUCAUAAUAAUAAGAACACAAAUUAUAAUGAUUAUUAAAAAAUGAUAAUGCUUUCAUUUAAAAUAUUAUUUGAUC